Molecule: ribosomal RNA, 497 nt
Filed under: uncultured bacterium
Lineage: Bacteria
Description: partial 16S ribosomal RNA
Rfam family: Bacterial small subunit ribosomal RNA
Source: RNAcentral
GAUGAACGCUGGCGGCGUGCCUAAUACAUGCAAGUCGAGCGAACAGACGAGGAGCUUGCUCCUCUAACGUUGGCGGCGGACGGGUGAGUAACACGUGGAUAACCUACCUCUAAGACUGGGAUAACUUCGGGAGACCGGAGCUAAUACCGGAUAAUAUAUUGAACCGCAUGGUUCAAUAGUGAAUCACGGUUUGGCUGUCACUUAUAGAUGGUUCCGGGCUGCAUUAGCUAGUUGGUAAGGUAACGCCUUACCAAGGCAACGAUGCGUAGCCGACCUGAGAGGGUGAUCGGCCACACUGGAACUGAGACACGGUCCAGACUCCUACGGGAGGCAGCAGUAGGGAAUCUUCCGCAAUGGGCGAAAGCCUGACGCAGCCACGCCGCGUGAGUGAUGAAGGUCUUCGGAUCGUAAAACUCUGUUAUUAGGGAAGAACAAAUGUGUAAGUAACUAUGCACGUCUUGACGGUACCUAAUCAGAAAGCCACGGCUAACUACGUG